UAAAGCUCUGUUGUAAGUCAAGAACGGGUGUGAGAGUGGAAAGUUCACACUGUGACGGUAGCUUACCAGAAAGGGACGGCUAACUACGUGCCAGCAGCCGCGGUAAUACGUAGGUCCCGAGCGUUGUCCGGAUUUAUUGGGCGUAAAGCGAGCGCAGGCGGUUUGAUAAGUCUGAAGUUAAAGGCUGUGGCUCAACCAUAGUUCGCUUUGGAAACUGUCAAACUUGAGUGCAGAAGGGGCAGAGGGAAUUCCUGGUGUAGCGGUGAAAUGCGUAGAGAUCAGGAAGAACAUCGGUGGCGAAAGGCGCUCUGCUGGACCAUAAACUGACACUCAGGGUCGACGCGGCCG
RNAcentral lists this ribosomal RNA (348 nucleotides) under uncultured Bacillota bacterium. RNAcentral describes it as "bacterial SSU rRNA". It matches the Rfam family "Bacterial small subunit ribosomal RNA", at positions 426 to 764 of the family's 1533-position model. Lineage: Bacteria; Bacillati; Bacillota. The record is from RNAcentral.